UGAGUUCUAUUGAGUUCAUUGAGUUCAAUGGUAUGGUUCAAAGUUCAAAUGCACUUCCAAUACAAUGGGUCAGCAGUGUACCGCAUAAGGCGGGAAAAUUAUGCUAAUGAGGCAACUCCAUUGGGCAAUUCUUCGUUUUCAGAAAGACAAAACAUGUAAAGAAGCUUAUCUUGUUGUGUUUUCUCGAGAAAUAUUUGGCUGAGCGGAGAUACGGUUCAAGGGGAAGACACUUUCACUCGUGGUGUGCACUGUGCAGGUGUAAAAAGAAUUGUAAAUGGCGUAUGUGGCUACAAGGAAGUCGAUGUUCUUUCAAUACUGUGUGCUUGUUGAUCUCUACGUUAGUUCGUUUUACAUGGAUACUUCUUUAAGCAGAGACAAAUUUGGUAGUUUUAUUCAAUUUACUUUCAUGUUCGAUGAUUAACAUUUUUUCGCGUUGUUAGGAGCUUGUCUCAAACAAAUAUUCAAAGAAAAGCUUCUUGUACGAAUUGUUUGUAAACCAUGUUGACGUGCUAUUAGAAAUUAGGUUGAAAGUUAAUCCACAAAUGUGAAAGAAAAUAUCCUUAUAUGACCUUAGUUCGAUGUCAUUAUAUUUUGUUGUUGACAAACGAAAAGAGAAAAUGUAUUUGAAGGACUUAAAUUGAAUUGUUUGUUUUAAA
Long non-coding RNA from Xenia sp. Carnegie-2017, 656 nucleotides. RefSeq lists it as uncharacterized. The record is from RefSeq and is a predicted model, not a curated record. Lineage: Eukaryota; Metazoa; Cnidaria; Anthozoa; Malacalcyonacea; Xeniidae. The transcript is spliced from 3 exons.